GCCUGACGGAGCAACGCCGCGUGAGGGAGGAAGGCCUGUGGGUUGUAAACCUCUUUUCUCUGGGAAGAAGACCUGACGGUACCAGAGGAAUAAGCAUCGGCUAACUCCGUGCCAGCAGCCGCGGUAAGACGGAGGAUGCAAGCGUUAUCCGGAAUUAUUGGGCGUAAAGCGUCCGCAGGCGGCCAAUUAAGUCUGCUGUUAAAGCCUGGGGCUUAACCCCAGAUCGGCAGUGGAAACUGGUUGGCUAGAGUACGGCAGGGGUAGAGGGAAUUCCCAGUGUAGCGGUGAAAUGCGUAGAUAUUGGGAAGAACACCAGUGGCGAAGGCGCUCUACUGGGCCGAAACUGACGCUGAGGGACGAAAGCUAGGGGAGCGAAAGGGAUUAGAUACC
This 390-nucleotide ribosomal RNA is filed under the name Trichocoleus sp. 'Buayanup Drain Type 4'. RNAcentral describes it as "bacterial SSU rRNA". It matches the Rfam family "Bacterial small subunit ribosomal RNA", at positions 381 to 786 of the family's 1533-position model. The record is from RNAcentral. Lineage: Bacteria; Bacillati; Cyanobacteriota; Cyanophyceae; Leptolyngbyales; Trichocoleusaceae.